CAGUAGCCGCGGUAAUACGUAGGGUGCAAGCGUUAAUCGGAAUUACUGGGCGUAAAGCGUGCGCAGGCGGUUAUAUAAGACAGAUGUGAAAUCCCCGGGCUCAACCUGGGAACUGCAUUUGUGACUGUAUAGCUAGAGUACGGCAGAGGGGGAUGGAAUUCCGCGUGUAGCAGUGAAAUGCGUAGAUAUGCGGAGGAACACCGAUGGCGAAGGCAAUCCCCUGGGCCUGUACUGACGCUCAUGCACGAAAGCGUGGGGAGCAAACAGGAUUAGAUACCCCGUAGUCCCUGUCUCUUAUACC
RNAcentral lists this ribosomal RNA (301 nucleotides) under uncultured bacterium. RNAcentral's name for it is "partial 16S ribosomal RNA". It matches the Rfam family "Bacterial small subunit ribosomal RNA", at positions 509 to 808 of the family's 1533-position model. The record is from RNAcentral.